Molecule: ribosomal RNA, 406 nt
Filed under: uncultured bacterium
Lineage: Bacteria
Description: partial 16S ribosomal RNA
Rfam family: Bacterial small subunit ribosomal RNA
Source: RNAcentral
AUUGAACGCUGGCGGCAGGCUUAACACAUGCAAGUCGAGCGAGCGGCGGACGGGUGAGUAAUGUAUGGGGACCUGCCCGGUAGCGGGGGAUAACUACUGGAAACGGUGGCUAAUACCGCAUACUAUUGGAUGGACCCAUAUGGGAUUAGCUAGUUGGUGGGGUAAAGGCUCACCAAGGCGACGAUCGCUAGCUGGUCUGAGAGGAUGAUCAGCCACACUGGGACUGAGACACGGCCCAGACUCCUACGGGAGGCAGCAGUGGGGAAUAUUGCACAAUGGGGGAAAGCCUGAUGCAGCCAUGCCGCGUGUAUGAAGAAGGCCUUAGGGUUGUAAAGUACUUUCAGCGGGGAGGCGGUACCUGCAGAAGAAGCACCGGCUAACUCCGUGCCAGCAGCCGCGGUAAUAC